This 503-nucleotide ribosomal RNA is filed under the name uncultured bacterium. RNAcentral describes it as "partial 16S ribosomal RNA". It matches the Rfam family "Bacterial small subunit ribosomal RNA", at positions 28 to 523 of the family's 1533-position model. The record is from RNAcentral.
GAUGAACGCUAGCGAUAGGCCUAACACAUGCAAGUCGAGGGGCAUCACGGAGUAGCAAUACUUUGGUGGCGACCGGCGCACGGGUGAGUAACGCGUAUGCAAUCUACCUACAACAGGGGGAUAACCCGGAGAAAUCCGGACUAAUACCGCAUAACACAGGGGUCCCGCAUGGGAAUAUUUGUUAAAGAUUUAUCGGUUGUAGAUGAGCAUGCGUUCCAUUAGGUAGUUGGUGAGGUAACGGCCCACCAAGCCUGCGAUGGAUAGGGGAACUGAGAGGUUUGUCCCCCACACUGGAACUGAGACACGGAACAGACUCCUACGGGAGGCAGCAGUGAGGAAUAUUGGUCAAUGGGCGAGAGCCUGAACCAGCCAAAUCGCGUGAAGGAAGACUGCCUUAUGGGUUGUAAACUUCUUUUGUACAGGAAUAAAAAGAGGGACGUGUCCUUCAUUGCAUGUACUGUACGAAUAAGCAUCGGCUAACUCCGUGCCAGCCGCCGCUGUAA